GCAGGAGAUCAUUUUUCUCAGUUUAAGGGAUUAGCGGUCGCUCUUCGCUGGAGUCAUUAGAGGGACCUGAAAAUUAGGCUGAUCCUUCGUACCCAGCUGUGCUGUCGCUGGGGGUUGGAGAAGGGGAUCAGAGGGAGGCCCUUUCCAACCACCACCACCCCCUCCCUGCCUCCCUCCUCCUGUCCUAUUCACUGAGGGCCAGCAGAAGUGUCGGGCAGUGUCUCGAGUGUUUUGUGGAAAAUAAUUCAACACUUAUCUGUUCUACAAAGAAGUGUGAUUGAGAUUUUUUUUCUUUUCUUUUUUCGGUUCCCCUCGCACAACCUGUUACAUCAUAUUGUCGUUUUAUUUUCUUUGAGAACAUCAGAAGGAAUCCAGUAUUUACACUCCCCGCACACGCAGCCCCACUUUCAUAAUGAGGCAUCGUUUAUGCAUUUAUGCUAAUUGGGGCCAUCUAGGUGAAAAUAUUCUCCAGCCAAAAUGUUAUUAACAACUUUGAGACACUUUUUUUUUCAAUCAGCAUUUUUUUUAAAGGUUUCACACAGAUGCGCUUUGAAAAGGACCACAUUUCUGAUUGGGCAAGAUCACACUCCAUGGCAGCUGGUUCAUUUGCUUCUCAAGAUGACAGAUGGCAAAACACAAACACAAAAAGAGGGAGCCAUGAUUAAGUAAUGAGAAUGCCUGCCACAAUAAGGAAACUACCAAACAUACUUUUUCCCCCCACUUUUUGCUGGUUAACUUUUGCCUUGCUUUAUGAAAGCAAAAGGCAAGAAAGCAGACAUGGAAAACUGUACAUCUGAUUUACAUUUUUACGAUUCUGUGCUGUGUGUUUGCUGCUCCAUUUCUGCUUACCAGUCUACAAGAUUUACAGGUUUGAGUUAAACACACUGUGAGCUUUGAAGCAGGGAGAAGAAUGUCUUAAUUUUGUGACAUUUGCCUACUUUUUUUUUUUUUUUUUAAUUGAGCAUCAUUUUAAUUGCAGGCAAAAGAGUAACUGGGGCCCUGGCCAGUGUUUUGCCCCGCAGAUGGGCAGCAGUGUUUGUGAACACCAGUGCGGCAGUUGGCAGGGAUUGAGGAGGAGGUGGCGGGGUGUGUGUCUGUGUGUGUGUGUGUGUGUGUGUGUGGUGGUGGUGGGGGAGGGAUGGGCAGAUUGCAAUGGCACAUGCUCCAAUUCAAAUUAUCCCUGGACCCAUGCAGCAGUGGAGGACCUGCUGGGGCCCAGGGUGGCAUUCAUUAUAACCAGACACAGGCAGGUUUUGGUCAGCGCCUCCAUCGUGACGCGAGUCCCGAAAGCAUCAAAUCUGGACUCUUUGCGGUUUUACGACUGCACCUAAAAGGAAAUGUGCAUUUUUAUUUGCGCACGUUUUGCCACAAAUUAUCAUUAAGGAGAUGCAAGCAAAUGUCAAGGACUGCACGGGGAGGAAGAUGGUGAGUGAUCUGCAGGUCAACAGAAAACAUCAAGGUCAUGGAGGUAAUGAGGAGAGCGUGUCUGAUGAAGAUGCAGCAUAAUGGCAAAAAUGACAAGACAAGUGUUAAAUGAAUGCAAAUCAAAUUACACAUCAAAUGUGGCUCUUCUCCCCCACCACCACCACCACCUCCUUGGUUAAAGUCUUUUUAAAGGCUUCUUGUACAGUACUGUAUGUGUUCAUAAUCUGAUGGGAAGUUACCAAUUAUCUCUCCCUAAUUACAUCCGUAUUACUGCUUGAAAAAUGAGCUUUCUGGCAUUUCUAAUGCUGCUAAAGAGUUGGUGAAUGAGAGAGGCGAGCGCAAAUCUUAAAAAAAAAAAAAAAAAACUGAAAAUUUAAUGAUCUACAUUAUUGCUUACAACUAUUGCUCUUCCUUGGGCUUGGUGAAGUUAAUUAACAGAUUAGGAUGGGGGGGGUAGUGUGUGAUAUCCCUUGCGGCGCUGGAUAGUAUUGGCCAAUGCAAGAAAUGUGUAAUAUGUAUAUAUGUAUAUUUAGAAUAAUGAUAAUAAAAAAAAGUCUGGAUUUAUGUGUUUGUGUUGAAAUGAGCCACAUCAGAGCGCAUCAACUGGAAGUUUUAAAUGCCCACGAGGUGCUGGCGUUAAUGGGGCUGUUACGACAUCAAAAUGUCACGUAGCAAGCCGUGGCUAAUCCACACACACACACACACACACACAAAAAAAACAAAAAAAACAUGGAAGUGUAAAAAUGUUCCUCUUGGCUCAUCGCUGGACGUGUUGAUGGUGAGGUGGUGGUGGUGAGAGGGGAGGAAAAAAAAGUGAAAUUGACAAUAUCAUUGUAGGAGCGCACUAAAGGGGCGACGGUCCGCUCCACUACACUGAAGUAGGGAUGUCUACAGUGGAAGAAGAAGAAGGGGGAGGGUACCACUUUGUCACAGGCUGCUAUGUAGAUUAACCUUUCAAUUAGUUGUUAUCAGGUCCUCUCCAUGUCUCGGCGCAAGCUUUUCAGCCUUCGUUUCAGGACAUCAAAUCCCGCAAAAUCGCUCGGAUAUGUCGCGUCGCAUUUUAUCCUUCGACGUUUUCCCCGAUAAUGAAGAGGACUAUCCGAGGGGGGGAAAAACUUGAAGAGGUAAAACUACCAGCAAAUAUUUACGGUAGCCUGUGCCCUCUCUCUCUCCCUCUCUCCCUCACGCUCUCCCUCUCUCGCUCCCUCUUUC
Astatotilapia calliptera (eastern happy) is the source of this 2637-nucleotide long non-coding RNA. The record is from Ensembl. NCBI's taxonomy places the organism in Eukaryota, Metazoa, Chordata, Actinopteri, Cichliformes, Cichlidae.